Molecule: long non-coding RNA, 1574 nt
Filed under: Anser cygnoides (Swan goose)
Lineage: Eukaryota; Metazoa; Chordata; Aves; Anseriformes; Anatidae
Description: lncRNA (ENSACDG00005012062.1)
Source: RNAcentral
AUGAGCAGCAAUGAGGGCAGAAGAGAAGAUGUUCUUGGUCCCCUUGAUCCCUGGCUUUGCACCAGCACACCAGCUGAAGUGGCAGGCCAGCAAAGGAGAAGUUGUCCCAGCUCAGCUGAUGAAUCAGAGUUUGUCAUUUCUGUUGUAAACUUGGGGCUGGAAUGGAUCCAAGCAACCAUUUUCAGCCCUUUUCAAAGUGAUAAUUUGAUUAAAGCCCUUGCAGAAAGGGCAUGCAUCUGCCUUCACCCUCUGCAGCCUCUGUAGUGUCUGCUCUGGAGCUAACAAUUCCAGGUCGAACUGUGUGCUUCCACACAUCUUAUAAUCAAGAAGGUUCACUUGUCCCAUAGCUCAGAUCCCAUUAUCUCUCAGAAUGUUUUUAUAGAGAAGAUAUUGGAAUCCUUAGAAGGCAGUGUCCCAUCCCAUCCCAUCCCAUCCCGUCGUCCGUCCCCCUCCCCCCUGGAAAGCAUACAUUUUUCUUGUCUUUCAGAAGCUUAUUGCCAACAAAGAAACUCAGGUUUCAGCUAUUCAAAAAUGAAACUAAAAAAGACAUUGAAAAACUGUGAAAAAACAAACAAAGCUGUACCGACUAUCUAGAAACAUUUCUUGAGUCAGAAAUAACACACUGGAUGACAAAGAGCGUGUAAACCUUUCCCAUCUCUGAGGAAGAGAAUUUCUUUUCCCAGGAAUGCAACAAUAUUCCUAGAAAUUCAGAGGAGAUACUUGAAAUCUGUGCAAGUGGUGAUGUUUUUGCCUUUGCGAAUGCUUUCACUUGGGUCAGUGAUCUAUGACUGGAGUCAGGCCUGUCUGGUAAACUGAAGGACACAAGGAAGGAAACGAGGUAGGAUUAGGCUCCUAAAUCCCUCAGAUGAGACAAUUUAUAUGGAUGCUGGAAUCAGACAGAUGAAAGCUGCCCAAUCUGCCUCUGGGGCAGACUGGGAAAAAGAUAGUCCAGACCUUUGAGGAGCCUGAGGCUUGGCAGAGAGUUCUGCAGACAGUCUUGUCAGAUGUUUUGGAUAUAUUUAAUGUUGGUUGUUUUGACUAGCACCCAAGUGACACUGAAAGAGAAGACAUCAGUGUUCGGUCUGACUUAUAGGGAAGGGGUUUAUUGAGCGUGGUUGGACAAAAAGUUAUCAGAAAUUGAACAGAACAUCCCAUAGUAGUAGAUUUCAGGUGUACAAUUGAGCUAACUCAUCCAAACAGGACUCAGAUGAACGACAGGCUGUGCUAUCAAAACCUCUGGUAUGAAGCAAUGGAAUAUCCAGAAAAACAAACAUCUUUUACAGUUUUGUAUAAGGUUUUAAGGUUGGACCUCUGACUUUUGAGAGUCUGUUUUUUCUUUUCCAACUCCCCAAAAUAGGUUAUUAAAACCUGGGCCUUCAGAGAAGGGAAAAGUACCAGGUAAGUCCCAGGUGAAUGACAGACUACUUACAGGAUGGGAACAAAACCUGAUGGUAUAAACAAGAAAGAAGGGUCGGAUACAUCAUGCUAAUAUUCACGAGUGUGGCAAGCUAUCAAUGUGCAAAAAGCAAUCACAGACUACUGCUAUACUAAUAAAAGUAACAGGCCUGGAACCA